AAGGGUUUGAUCCUGGCUCAGAGUGAACGCUGGCGGUAGGCCUAACACAUGCAAGUCGAACGGCAGCACAGGAGAGCUUGCUCUCUGGGUGGCGAGUGGCGGACGGGUGAGGAAUACAUCGGAAUCUACUUUUUCGUGGGGGAUAACGUAGGGAAACUUACGCUAAUACCGCAUACGACCUACGGGUGAAAGCAGGGGAUCUUCGGACCUUGCGCGAUUGAAUGAGCCGAUGUCGGAUUAGCUAGUUGGCGGGGUAAAGGCCCACCAAGGCGACGAUCCGUAGCUGGUCUGAGAGGAUGAUCAGCCACACUGGAACUGAGACACGGUCCAGACUCCUACGGGAGGCAGCAGUGGGGAAUAUUGGACAAUGGGCGCAAGCCUGAUCCAGCCAUACCGCGUGGGUGAAGAAGGCCUUCGGGUUGUAAAGCCCUUUUGUUGGGAAAGAAAUCCAGCUGGCUAAUACCCGGUUGGGAUGACGGUACCCAAAGAAUAAGCACCGGCUAACUUCGUGCCAGCAGCC
This 520-nucleotide ribosomal RNA is filed under the name uncultured bacterium. RNAcentral's name for it is "bacterial SSU rRNA". It matches the Rfam family "Bacterial small subunit ribosomal RNA", at positions 1 to 516 of the family's 1533-position model. The record is from RNAcentral.